Molecule: ribosomal RNA, 1387 nt
Filed under: Alcaligenes sp.
Lineage: Bacteria; Pseudomonadati; Pseudomonadota; Betaproteobacteria; Burkholderiales; Alcaligenaceae
Description: bacterial SSU rRNA
Rfam family: Bacterial small subunit ribosomal RNA
Source: RNAcentral
GACGGCAGCACGAGAGAGCUUGCUCUCUUGGUGGCGAGUGGCGGACGGGUGAGUAAUAUAUCGGAACGUGCCCCGUACCGGGGGAUAACUACUCUAAAGAGUGGCUAAUACCGCAUACGCCCUACGGGGGAAAGGGGGGGAUUCUUCGGAACCUCUCACUAUUGGAGCGGCCGAUAUCGGAUUAGCUAGUUGGUGGGGUAAAGGCUCACCAAGGCAACGAUCCGUAGCUGGUUUGAGAGGACGACCAGCCACACUGAGACUGAGACACGGCCCAGACUCCUACGGGAGGCAGCAGUGGGGAAUUUUGGACAAUGGGGGAAACCCUGAUCCAGCCAUCCCGCGUGUAUGAUGAAGGCCUUCGGGUUGUAAAGUACUUUUGGCAGAGAAGAAAAGGUACCUCCUAAUACGAGGUACUGCUGACGGUAUCUGCAGAAUAAGCACCGGCUAACUACGUGCCAGCAGCCGCGGUAAUACGUAGGGUGCAAGCGUUAAUCGGAAUUACUGGGCGUAAAGCGUGUGUAGGCGGUUCGGAAAGAAAGAUGUGAAAUCCCAGGGCUCAACCUUGGAACUGCAUUUUUAACUGCCGAGCUAGAGUAUGUCAGAGGGGGGUAGAAUUCCACGUGUAGCAGUGAAAUGCGUAGAUAUGUGGAGGAAUACCGAUGGCGAAGGCAGCCCCCUGGGAUAAUACUGACGCUCAGACACGAAAGCGUGGGGAGCAAACAGGAUUAGAUACCCUGGUAGUCCACGCCCUAAACGAUGUCAACUAGCUGUUGGGGCCGUUAGGCCUUAGUAGCGCAGCUAACGCGUGAAGUUGACCGCCUGGGGAGUACGGUCGCAAGAUUAAAACUCAAAGGAAUUGACGGGGACCCGCACAAGCGGUGGAUGAUGUGGAUUAAUUCGAUGCAACGCGAAAAACCUUACCUACCCUUGACAUGUCUGGAAUGCCGAAGAGAUUUGGCAGUGCUCGCAAGAGAACCGGAACACAGGUGCUGCAUGGCUGUCGUCAGCUCGUGUCGUGAGAUGUUGGGUUAAGUCCCGCAACGAGCGCAACCCUUGUCAUUAGUUGCUACGCAAGAGCACUCUAAUGAGACUGCCGGUGACAAACCGGAGGAAGGUGGGGAUGACGUCAAGUCCUCAUGGCCCUUAUGGGUAGGGCUUCUCACGUCAUACAAUGGUCGGGACAGAGGGUCGCCAACCCGCGAGGGGGAGCCAAUCUCAGAAACCCGAUCGUAGUUCGGAUCGCAGUCUGCAACUCGACUGCGUGAAGUCGGAAUCGCUAGUAAUCGCGGAUCAGAAUGUCGCGGUGAAUACGUUCCCGGGUCUUGUACACACCGCCCGUCACACCAUGGGAGUGGGUUUCACCAGAAGUAGGUAGCCUAACCGCAAG